Molecule: ribosomal RNA, 565 nt
Filed under: Cubamyces lactineus
Lineage: Eukaryota; Fungi; Basidiomycota; Agaricomycetes; Polyporales; Polyporaceae
Description: partial small subunit ribosomal RNA
Rfam family: Bacterial small subunit ribosomal RNA
Source: RNAcentral
CAGCAGUCAAGAAUAUUAGUCAAUGCUCGCAAGAGUGAACUAGCUAACUGAAAUCAAAGAGUUUUUCAAAACUCCUGAUGUCGUAAGGGAAAAUAGUGAUAUUACCUUACUAAUAGUGUCGUCCAAAUCUGGUGCCAGAAGACUCGGUAAGACCAGAGACGCAAACGUUAAUCAUCAUAAACAGGCGUAAAGGGUUUGUAGGCAGCUUUUAUAAAGAAUAUAAUUAACAAAAUAAAGUAUUCUAAUUGAAAGCUAGAAUCAAAUAUAGGUUAUAGUGUAUAACGCUUAGAGGAGGGCUGAUAUCCUUAGAUCCUAGGCAGAAUACUAAGGGCGAAGGCCACUUUCCAUAAAUGAUUGACGCUGAGAAACGAAGGUUAGGGUAGGAAAUAGGAUUAGAUACCCCGGUACUCCUUUCUGUAAACGAUGAAUGGUAGUCAUUAGUUUAACAAAAACUAGAGGCGAAGUUAACACGAUAACCAUUCCGCCUUGUGAGUACUACUGCAAAGUAGAAAACAAAAAAAUUAGUCGGUCUCGAAGCAAACGGAGUGAAGCAUGUUAUUUAAUU